This is a long non-coding RNA of Lolium rigidum, 2006 nucleotides long. RefSeq lists it as uncharacterized. Lineage: Eukaryota; Viridiplantae; Streptophyta; Magnoliopsida; Poales; Poaceae. The record is from RefSeq and is a predicted model, not a curated record. The transcript has 3 exons.
UGUUCCAGAGCUUAUUCAUGGUUUGUUGUUGCUCAAUUUGUGUUGUCUUGAUUGCAUCAUAGCUGUAAUAGAGUAAGGCAUAUGAAUAUUAUCCAGAUUCCAAUCAAAUCAAGAUAAAGUAAUUUCCAUUAGUUAGAUUUUUGGGUCUAAGAGAUCUCUAAACUUCGGUUCAGAUUCCCCUUUUCCCUUUCAAAGGAGAAAAAUACGUUGGAUCCUCUACCUGCAUUAUUUUAUCUUGGUAUAUAUGUAUAUAUACAAUCUACACUCAGUGUGCAUAGCAAUUUCAUUGGGGUUCUGAAUGUCAGUUAUCAUGAGUGCUUAAUCAGGUAUGGUGCAGUGCUGAACUAGAAAAUUUGACAUAAAAGACUAGUCACCACGGUACCGAAUGUUAAAACACUUGAUACUGAACUUGGCUAAAGCCUAGACAAUUUGACAGAUUUUUCGUGCUCAACUGUGGCGCUGAAUGGAAUCAAGGUCCUGGACGAGACAUUGGACAUGGUUCUUGCAACAAAACAGUAAAAGCACUGUAACGUUGCAUUCCAAACACCAACCAUGUAGAGUUCUGCUGACUUUGUCUGAUCUACAUGUAAAUCACACAUCUACAUGCCGAAUUCCUCGAAUAUAGUGAGGUACUUAAUAAAUAAUCGGAGUCCCGAAUGCAUUUUUGUGGAGGGUGCUUAACAAGGUAUAUGAUGGUACUGAAUCAUAUGGUUUAACCCAUGGGUUCUUAAUGCCCUGGUGCUGAAACUUUGAACAAUUGGUACCGAACAGCAAAGGCUUUAGGGUUACCUAUGUUCGAACACGUGGUACCAAAUUUUUAUUCGCUGAGGUACUUUAAUUUGUCACAUGAGGUGCUUCAAGUUCCAUCUUUUGUGCGAGUAUUUUUAUAGGGACUUAAACACUGUCAGAUUUAUAACAAUUUCCAGGUUAUAAGUUUGGGUUUUGUAACCUUUGUGAGGUGAUGAGCCAUUAAUCUAGUACAGACUGCAUUUCUACAAGAUUAUUAUUAGUAAUUUUGUAGGUAGAACAACCUGAUCUAGUCUAUUAAAUAGUGGUACAGAAUGAGUAUAUUUCCAGAGUCUGCCUGUUUGCAACCUAUAUAUACUACUAUGUCCUUUUUUAGUGAAGUUUUUUAUUUCUUCAAUGAUAUGUGUGCAGUUUCUUAACUCAUUAAGCACCUUCAGAACAUAGGCUGGACAUCCUGUUUGAAUUUGUUAAGUACCUAGCGAAAGCCUACAAGUACUUAAUUAAAGGCCUAGAGGGGUGCCGAAUGCUUGCAGCCAGUUCUUCAUCACAGGAAUUGUACUAAAUUGGGAUAGCUUAGAGCCUCUUAAAUAAACAUUUGGUACUUCAUAUAUAUGAAGUAGGUGCUGAACUAAAACUGGGUGCAGAGUGGAUCUUACUAUUGGUACUUGAUAUAUAUGAAGUUGCUUGAGGUUCCAAGCUUGAGUUAUUUUCAAUUACAAUGUCGUUUAUCCUCUAGUACUUAAUAAAUCCAAACAAGGUACUCCAUUCGCAUCACACAGGUUGCUUAAAGAGGAUGGGUUAGGUGCUGAACCAUGAAGCGCGUCCAUCGGGCUUGUUGUUUUUGACAUAUUGUGUUAGGUGCUGAAACGAGAAGCAGGUAGUCAGAUAGAUGGCAAUCUUGCUGUGCUUUGAUCGAAAGAAGAUUGAUGCAGCCAUUGUCGCAGUCGCAGAAAUGUAAUCAAGGUACUUCACAAUCUCAACCGAGGUGCCAGUUAUAUUUAUAAGAGGGUGCUUGAAAUUUUUUGUCGUUGUGCCGGAAUCUUCAUCUUCGGGUACCGAAUGUCUACUAAUCGAGGAACAGUAUAAUUAUAUUCAUGAUACUGGAAUUAUUCCGGUAUCGAUUCUAUUUAUCUGCCGGUAGCAAAUGUAUAGUAAUCAAGGCAUGUCAUAAUUAGAACUGUGGUACCAGAAUUUUCUAGGUACUGAUUCUAUUUGUACGUGGGUGCCGAAUGGAAGUAAAUUCAAAUUGCGAGUUGCAA